Molecule: long non-coding RNA, 2045 nt
Filed under: Bos indicus x Bos taurus (hybrid cattle)
Lineage: Eukaryota; Metazoa; Chordata; Mammalia; Artiodactyla; Bovidae
Description: lncRNA (ENSBIXG00005010174.1)
Source: RNAcentral
AGGUGGGCCAUGUUGUCUCGCCCAGAUUUGGAAUCGCAUCGUAUCCACUCCUCACCAUGGCAUCAUGUGACUUCCCUCCUAGCUCUGAGCUGCCCACCUGCCUACACAUCUUUGAGGUUCUGCUACCAUCACACCCCUCACCUCACCCUUCGAGGCUCAGCUCAGAAACAGACUGUGAAAGACCUUCCAGCUCUCCCCAUCUCUCCACCAACAGACAUGCUGGCUCCAUUUUUUGAGUGGCUACUCAGUGCCCAGAAGCUUAUCUCGGGAAGCCUAAGGUGUCAUGACUUGCCCAAGGUGACACAGUUUCUUCCUACCUGCUCUCCUCAUCUCUCCCAGAAACCAUCUGUCAGCUGCAGUGGUCCCUAAUACCAGGUACUUGGCAUAUCAAGCGCCCAUGGCCUAGAUUCUAGGAGUCGACGAUGCCUACCGGAGUCAGGUCCCUGACAACUUUCUGUGACAGCUCUGAGACCUUGCAGGUGAAGGGCCCUAGGGCUUCCUCAGGUUCACAGCAACUUGCUCCUCAGUGCAGUUUAGGUCCAUGAUGGAGUCUUUGGCCGUCAUCAGUCCAGCAGAGGGUUGGGCUAUGGCAAACAUGGGGACCAGGAGAGCAUGGCUUUGUUCCGAGGACAGUGAGUAAAACCAUUGAGCUGGCACAGAGAGUUCUUUCAUAGAGGCAGGAGAAGAUGAGGUUGGAGGACCUCAAAAUCCCAGUUAAGGAACCUGGUCAUCAUCUUGUAAGGAGCACCAACAUUUUUGAAAAAUGAACUUUUCCUUGGGAAUAAUUUUGGAUUUACAGAGAAGUUUCAGAAAUGCCGUAGAGAGUUUCCAUAUAUCCCUUACCGUUCUCCCUAGUGCUAACAUCUUAUGGUGUAUGGUACAUUUGUUAAAACUAAGAAGCUGACAUUGGUGCAUUACUAUUGUUCAAACUCCAGACUUAAUUCGUAUUUCACUAGUUUUUCCACUAAAAUUUUCUUUUCUAUUCCACAAUCCUCUCCAGGAUACCAUUCUGCAUUUAGAUACCAACCUUUUUAAAGGAGAAUGUUAACAUUAUUAAAGGCAUUUUAGGAGAACCAUCUGACAGGAAUGGUCAAGUGAGAUAGGAAGGCAUUCCAGAACCUUCAAACUUCCAAAUACAUCCCACUGCCCAGCAUCUGAAGGAGCUCACCAUCUUGAAAGUGCAGUUGCCAGGAAGAGGAAACCUGGGCCAUUGGAAGCAUCUCUGUGCCUGUUCAGGGUUCAGGGGGCCAAAGAUAUAUUUAGGGUACACUUGGGAGCCAAGAAAAAGAAAACUCCUUCCUUGGGAAUUCUCUGGCAGUCCAGUAGUUAGGACACCAUGCUUUCACUGCUGAGGGCCCAUGUUUGAUCCCUGGUUGGAAAACUAAAAAAAAAAAAAAAAAAGAGAGAGAGAGAGAGACACCUGGGAGCCUCUGCCUAGCAGUGCUGCAAGCUAGAAGGUCUUCCUGCCUACGCACCCAAAGUUGGCUGGUAACCCAGACAGGUAGCCAAAGAAAUGCAUGUUUGCCUUCUUUUCUGAAAGUCUAGACUUGUCUCCCUUACAAUUCAGUUUGGUGUUGUGGAAAGAGAACAGGCUCUAGGAUCAGGAUGGCCCAGGAUUUAAGUCUUGACUCCACCACUUAUUGUGGGACCAUGUGUGACUUACUGAACCUCUCUGAGCUUCAGUUUCCUCACUAAUAAUAACUGUUAUAUUAAACUUCUUUAAUAAGAUUAUUGAGAGGAUUGAUUAACAUUUACAAAGUGUUCAGUAGGGGGUCUGGCACACAAGAGGUAUUCAGUAAUCAAUUGGCUCCCUUGACAACAGGAGGGUAGGGCUGAGCCCAUAAUUUUCUUGCAUAUCCUCAAACUGCUUAACAUGUGCAAAGCAAUUCAUACAUUGAUGAUUGUGAUAUGGAGCUCACAAACCCAAUGACUUCAGGAAGAGCAGAUCAUGACGCCAACUACAGCAUUCAUUUAUUGAGCAAGUCUCUAUUAGUCACUCACUAAAUAUCAAUAAAUAGGUAAUGCCAGGCUCUGUGCUAAGUGAC